GUCUCCGUAGCUCAGCAGGAUAGAGCGACCGCCUCCUAAGCGGUAGGUAGCGGAGCGUUUAGCGGAGCGGCGCCACGGGAGUGAAUGACAGUCCGGGGGACUGUCAGAGCCG
Molecule: transfer RNA, 112 nt
Filed under: Clostridia bacterium
Lineage: Bacteria; Bacillati; Bacillota; Clostridia
Description: tRNA-Arg
Source: RNAcentral